This 406-nucleotide ribosomal RNA is filed under the name uncultured bacterium. RNAcentral describes it as "partial 16S ribosomal RNA". It matches the Rfam family "Bacterial small subunit ribosomal RNA", at positions 30 to 526 of the family's 1533-position model. The record is from RNAcentral.
AUUGAACGCUGGCGGCAGGCCUAACACAUGCAAGUCGAGCGAGCGGCGGACGGGUGAGUAAUGUAUGGGGAUCUGCACGAUGGUGGGGGAUAACUACUGGAAACGGUGGCUAAUACCGCAUACUAUCGGAUGAACCCAUAUGGCAGUAGCGAGUAGUUGGGGUAAAGGCUCACCUAGACGAAGAUCUCUAGCUGGUCUGAGAGGAGGAUCAGCCACACGGUGACUGAGACACGUCCCAGACUCCUACGGGAGGAAGCAGUGGGGAAUAUUGCACAAUGGGCGCAAGCCUGAUUCAGCCAUGCCGCGUGGAUGAAGAAGGCCUCAGGGUUGUAAAGUACUUUCAGCGGGGAGGCGUUACCCGCAGAAGAAGCACCGGCUAACUCCGUGCCAGCAGCCGCGGUAAUAC